CAAGUCGAGGGGUAACAGAGAGUGCUUGCACUCUGCUGACGACCGGCGGCACGGGUGCGUAACGCGUAUACAAUCUACCUUCUUGCUGAGGGAUAGCCCAGAGAAAUUUGGAUUAAGACCUCAUGGUAUCACAUGAUUCGCAUGGAUUAGUGAUUAAAGGUUACGGCAGAAGAUGAGUAUGCGUCCUAUUAGCUAGAUGGUAAGGUAACGGCUUACCCAUGGCAACGAUAGGUAGGGGCCCUGAGAGGGGGAUCCCCCCACCACUGGUACUGAGACACGGACCAGACUCCUACGGGAGGCAGCAGUGAGGAAUAUUGGACAAUGGGCGCAAGCCUGAUCCAGCCAUGCCGCGUGCAGGAAGACUGCCCUAUGGGUUGUAAACUGCUUUUAUACAGGAAGAAACCUUUCCACGUGUGGAGAGCUGACGGUACUGUAAGAAUAAGGAUCGGCUAACUCCGUGCCAGCAGCCGCGGUAAUACGGAGGAUCCAAGCGUUAUCCGGAAUCAUUGGGUUUAAAGGGUCCGUAGGUGGAUUAUUAAGUCAGAGGUGAAAGUCUGCAGCUCAACUGUAGAAUUGCCUUUGAUACUGGUAAUCUUGAGUCAUUAUGAAGUGGUUAGAAUGUGUAGUGUAGCGGUGAAAUGCAUAGAUAUUACACAGAAUACCGAUUGCGAAGGCAGA
RNAcentral lists this ribosomal RNA (678 nucleotides) under uncultured Bacteroidota bacterium. Its description in RNAcentral is "bacterial SSU rRNA". It matches the Rfam family "Bacterial small subunit ribosomal RNA", at positions 58 to 725 of the family's 1533-position model. The record is from RNAcentral. Lineage: Bacteria; Pseudomonadati; Bacteroidota.